Molecule: ribosomal RNA, 368 nt
Filed under: uncultured organism
Description: bacterial SSU rRNA
Rfam family: Bacterial small subunit ribosomal RNA
Source: RNAcentral
CGAACCGUCCAAACGUUAUUCGGAAUCACUGGGCUUACAGAGUUCGUAGGCGGUCUGGAAAGUUGGGUGUGAAAUCCCUCGGCUCAACCGAGGAACUGCGCUUGAAACUACCAGACUCGAGGGAGAUAGAGGAAAGCGGAACUGAUGGUGGAGCGGUGAAAUGCGUUGAUAUCAUCAGGAACACCGGUGGCGAGGGCGGCUUUCUGGGUCUUACCUGACGCUGAGGAACGAAGCCAGGGGAGCGAACGGGAUUAGAUACCCCGGUAGUCCUGGCCGUAAACGAUGAGCACUAGGUCGUGGGCCUCCACAGGCCCUCGGCCGUAGCGAAAGUGUUAAGUGCUCCGCCUGGGGAUAUGGUCGCAAGGCUG